Small nucleolar RNA from Mangifera indica (mango), 145 nucleotides. RefSeq annotates it as small nucleolar RNA snoR145. The transcript has a single exon. NCBI's taxonomy places the organism in Eukaryota, Viridiplantae, Streptophyta, Magnoliopsida, Sapindales, Anacardiaceae. The record is from RefSeq and is a predicted model, not a curated record.
UAGCGAAGGUCCCAGCAGAGGGUACGAACUCUGUAAACGAGGACUCUCUAACAUAAUACAAAGCCUUCGCAGACUAAUUUGCCGAAUCGUAGGAUGCCCAUAACCUGUCAACUUUUGGGCAUCUUGAACCCUCGGCUAUAUCUUC